GGAAAUUCUUGGGUGAUGCAUCCCGGAAUCAGGCUCCCUCCUCUCUGGUUCUGGGGUGUGUCACCCGAGAACCAUC
Non-coding RNA from Myotis davidii, 76 nucleotides. The record is from Rfam. NCBI's taxonomy places the organism in Eukaryota, Metazoa, Chordata, Mammalia, Chiroptera, Vespertilionidae.